This 102-nucleotide small nuclear RNA is filed under the name Colobus angolensis palliatus. Lineage: Eukaryota; Metazoa; Chordata; Mammalia; Primates; Cercopithecidae. The record is from RNAcentral.
AUGUUUACUUCAGCAGCACAUAUACUAAAAUUGAAAUGAUAGAAGAUUAGCAUGGCCCUGCACAAGAUUGACAUGCAAAUUUGUGAAGCAUUCCAUAUUUUU